Molecule: non-coding RNA, 3108 nt
Organism: Gasterosteus aculeatus aculeatus (three-spined stickleback)
Lineage: Eukaryota; Metazoa; Chordata; Actinopteri; Perciformes; Gasterosteidae
Source: RefSeq, a predicted model, not a curated record
UCUCCCCCAACCCCUCGUCUCUCUCUGUCUCUCUCUCUGACAGCGUCCAGCUUUGGCGCUCUGCUCAGUUAGUUAGAGAUACACGCUGAGCCACUGGAGCGCAAGGAAAGAUAUGUUGGCUACAGCAGGCAGGGGCUUCCACCACUUCAGCAACGGUGCUUUUUUCAAUUUUUUGUUUCAGCAUGAAACAUUUAAAAGCCAGGACAUCAGAUAAAUAUGUUUUACAUUGCUGAGCAGUAUAAAAGUUUCAUAGAGAUGAGCCUUUAUCAAGGCUUGACAAGGGGUUAUUGGCACAAGAGGCUAGACUGAAAUCGCUUUUUUUUUUUUAAGCUUUGCGGAAUACAUUUUUAAAAAAAAGGUUGAAAUGGCCACAUAAAACCUGCCCAUCAACUGACUUCAUUCUUCAACCGGACAGCGUCCUUCCUCACAGACGAGAAGAAGAAGAAGACAAGGGGAAGCAGAGGUGAGACGUCAACAAAGCAGAGAAAGAAGACGAGCCGAGAGGAGGUGGGCAGCACAGUUUUCAGCUCUUACGAGACUGAGGAGGAGAAAGUGACGGCAGCUAGAACUUGGCCACUAGUGAGAUGAAAUUUGGGGAGGAGACGCUGGAGCGCUGCAGGGUACGACAUCCACACAGAGCCCUAAAAGUGGACCGCCUGGAAGACGAGCCCUCCCUCUCUGGAUCCUGUGCCCCUCCACAGCCGAAGGAUGAGAGGGGUCGACUUUCACCUUAGUUGCCGGGGAUGUCUGUGCACCACAGGAAGACGCCAGCCUCCAGCAUGUUAAAUGUUAUGCUACUCCUGAUGCUUUGCAAGAUUAGUCUGAGACGAAAACUGCAGUCUUUUCCCGGGGAAAAUGGUAAACACUCUCCACACUGAUGAGGAAAAGGGAAUCCAAGACAAGGAAAGUAAGGAGGAGAGCAUCUUGGCCAUGCUGGGGAUCAUUGGAACCAUUCUCAACUUGGUUGUCAUCAUCUUUGUCUACAUCUACACCACCCUGUAGGUCUCUAUCUCCUGCUGUACUUCAUCAGCGGGCAGAUGAGAGAUCAUCUGUGUCAAUGCGAUGGCCAUAUUGCAUCCAUCCUGCAUCCCUUUAAACAACUUAGUCGAUGGGAAACGGACUCGUUCCUUUUGCCUUUACUGGUGAAAUAGUCCAACAUGCCGUGAGACAUUUAACUUGUACAUAAAUGCCCGACGAUACCGCUUUUCUCAACCACAUGGACAUCAAGGAUUGCAGAGGGUGGACGUGAAAAUAUGUAUCAGAUGUUUUAUUGACUGAAGUGUUGAAAGUACCUAAUAUGCUUCCAUGUGAUGGAAUAUAAGGAUGUAUAGAGAAGGUAGGUUUUUGCAAUGAUAUAUAUUCAUUUUCCUCAAAGAUUUUCACAGUAUAUGACAACAUACAUCGGUUUCUAUGAGGAUUAAGUAAAUUAAAGAAAAUAGAUAUUCAAAUUGUUAUUGAGGUUGAAUUUUGUUUUUGUACUGUAUUCCUCACUGUUUGGAGUAAAAAAAUGAUUUUGGAUGGUGUUUUAUUUCCUACAAUUGUCCUACAAAAGUUGUAUAUUGUGCAUUUACUAAAACAAACUUUGUCAAUGGCAUGAAGUCAGUUUUCAAAUGUUAGGAAUUCAGACAGAUCAGUACAAACUGUCUCAAUAAUUUAUAAUACUUAAGUUUAUGACGCAUCACUUGAGGGUCACCGACACUUUCUCACCGAGAGAAGAUUAAUUAAUUUGUGGGAAAAUAAUGUUAUUAUUUGUCGAAGUCGAGGCUGAAGAUCACCAUCGUUGUUCUUGGGGGUAAACAUCUUCAGACGUUUUCACAAAGAUCAUUUCCUCACGUAUGGGUCUAUCAGACGCUGGCAUGUUUCAGCUCGUACCAACUGAAUCAGGUUGGGUCAUGGGAGCGUCUCAAAUUAUAUUCACUUGCUGUUUUUCCUUCAUUCUUGAACAAGAAGCCUGCAAAAUGAUCUGCAUGUAAGUCUUUUUCUGUUUGCUCUCAUUUAUAGAUUAAUUUGACAAUAAUGCAUCAAAGGAAUCGUUCCACAUUUUGGGCAAUAAUCUGGUCUCCUGCCAACCUCUCAGUGAAGAGAAGACUCUUGGAAGUCUUUGUGGUCAGCCGAGAAGUAGUCUGGCGCAGAACUUUGUAAAACCAAAACCUGUUUUUAUUGUGUAAAAAAUAUACUCCCGUUUAUUCCUCAAUAAUUGACUACUGUUUGAGAUGUGACAACGUGAUUUCAUUUUCCCCAUUUCCAGUCAUUAUGCUAAGAUGCUCUUCUCCUAGCUGCGAAUUCGAAUUUAACGGACAAGUGUGAGAGCGAUAUCAAUCUUUUAUGUAACUCUCAUUGAGGAAGCGAAUAAGAGUAUUUCCCAAAAUGAAAAACUUUUACUGAAAAAAUGUAUCUAUAAGAGAAGAGAAAACGCCUUUAAAUAAUGAUGUACAGUAUUUAGCGGAUGUCAUGCUUUAGAAAAGAACAGUUACAUGUGUUUGCAAGACGACCACCUCAUGAUUUCAGAAAGUGCCUGAGAUCAAAGUGUCUCAACCUCAUCAGUUAAAAGGUCAAGAAAAUAAAAAUAGAAAAAACAGUGAGAGUAUCUUUAUAAAGCCACGAGUCCCACAGGAUAGUGGAAGAAGAAUGAUGGGACUGGAUUUCUGUUUCAUGGCUUAAUAAAGUCAAUUAGCUUGGGUGAACAAACUUAAGCACAUGGACAAGUCGUAUGAAUGUAUUAUCCCUUAUUCUUUACUCAUCUUUCUUAAAGCUAUGUACCUCUAUUUGUUAUGUUUUGUUCAUGUGUAUGCUAAAUCUAUUUAAACCUAUUGAUUUGUCACUUGUGGGUGACAAAUUGGGUAAACGUUUGUCAGGCUGCGGUUCGGUUAAAAAACAUUAAAUGAAUACAAGAUGAAACGGAUAUAUUUGGAUGUUCUGUCUUGGUUUGUAUCAUACCAUAUUAAUGGUAAUAUAUUGAAUUACGCCUUUGGUGCACAUAAGCUACAUUCAUUAAUGCUACGCAUAUACACAUUUUGAAAAAACUUUCAGCUUCAUGACUUCUGGAACAAAAUACUUUUACAGAAGUGAAACGCUUCUAGCACGAAUAAAAUAAUCUUUGAAAAUCUA